Long non-coding RNA from Onychomys torridus (southern grasshopper mouse), 1511 nucleotides. RefSeq lists it as uncharacterized. The record is from RefSeq and is a predicted model, not a curated record. NCBI's taxonomy places the organism in Eukaryota, Metazoa, Chordata, Mammalia, Rodentia, Cricetidae. The transcript has 3 exons.
GGGCAGGGCUGCACGCUUCCCGAAGGGCGUCUCCAGGGCAAAGGACGGCCGCCCUCCGGGCCGCCGGACUUCUGUAUCUAUCUGGAUCUAAGAAAAUGAGUCAUAUCUCACUGGGGGACAAAAUGUCUUGAAGAAAGCAAUUACAUUCAAUUAUAAAAUGAAAUAGAGUUCUGCUCCACCUGAAGAUGUUUCUUUUUAGAAAUCAGAAAUCCAACAUGGAUCUUAUUCGACUAAAUCGCCUACCAGGAAGCUGUAUUCCAUCUGCUGGCUCUCCAGGACCACCUAUUUUCUUGUUUUAAUUUCUGAUGACCACCUACACUCUUAGCUUAUAGACCCUUCCUCCACCUUCACACUCUGCUUUUGCAGCCUUCUCCUCCUCUGCCUCUUUCUGAGGAUCUUUGUGAUAACAUUGAACUCACCCAGACCAAGCAGAACGAUCUCCUCCUCUCAGGAUCCUGGGUCACACCACAAAGUCCCUUUUGCCAUCUAAAGUGUUGUUUGUAGGCAUGGGGAUUAAGAAGUUCAUCUAUUGGGGGACCUUGACUCAGCCUGCCUCCCAGGGCAAUGUGACAAAGGUGACGACACUGGAGCUAAGUACCCGGUGUUGUGCAAAUAUGCUAGAGGGGAUGCGUAAGAGGUAUAAUGUGAAUUUUCAGUUAAGGUUGCACAGGUGCCAGUGGAUGGGAGGGAUGUCCUGUGGAUGUGGUAGGAGAGGAGACCCUGGUGAAGAUGACACUUUCAUUAGUUAUGUAUCAUGAUGUUAUUAUUACUUUCUGAUUAAACAAUUCUAGCAAUGUGUGUUUGAGAUCUUGCAGUAUCUGAGAGUCAUGGGUCCAAGAGCCUUGACCAGAUGACUGGACAUUUUGGACUUUGUAAAUUCACAGUCAAGUUCUGGGAGGGGGCUGUGUUUGCGGAUGCUACUGUGUGGGCUGAGAUAUCCAUCCCUCCUUUCUUACUAAAUGGACCUCUCCAUACAGUAAGUAUAUACCAUGGCACUUAUCUGAAUUCUCUGAGCAGGGAGGGAAGCAGAAAGAAAGGAAAGAGGGAGAGAGAGAGACAGGCAGAGAGAAAGAGAGAAAUCCCUUCAAAGAAACAAGUCAUUUAAAACCUAACCUCAGAAAUGGCAUACUCUCAUUCAUGCCAUUGUAUGGGUCACAAAAACCUAAAUCUAUGUGGAGAGGAUCACACAAAAAGGUGAGCACUAGGGAUAGCAAUCACUGAUAACAUCUUAUAAGCAAUUACUUGUUGCUGUCAUGUAGGGCUAACAUGAGAAACAGGCAAGGAUAAAGUUGAGAAGGGAGGGUUAGAGCAAGUGACAGCUAUCCUCUGGACCAAGGAAUCUAGACAUAAUCUCUUUAUAGACAGGGAGGUACUCCUGAGGCUUAGUCAUGGGUAAAGCAGGAGGCGGGAAGUAGGUUUCAGUUCAAGUCACCAGUGCCAGGGCACUUCAGUAGAUGGAAUGACUGGAGAGGCAGGGAUGGGGAGGCCCCAGGGUGCUGGUUUGAGAGGCA